Seriola aureovittata is the source of this 1245-nucleotide long non-coding RNA. RefSeq lists it as uncharacterized. Lineage: Eukaryota; Metazoa; Chordata; Actinopteri; Carangiformes; Carangidae. The record is from RefSeq and is a predicted model, not a curated record. The transcript is spliced from 2 exons.
GUUAAGUGUUCCAACCAGGUGUUAUCGUUGUCAAUGUGCUUCACAGAGUGUAGUAUUGCCAUUAAGAAGCUCACUGAGUUAAAGUCAGUGACAUUUUCACUAACUACCGCGUUUUCAGCGUGUCGAAACAAGUGUGUUUCUGAGUUACUAGCACGCUAAGCUAGCGCGCACGGAAUUGAGUGCUAACCGCUCGCUAGCACCUCGGUGGAUAUCAUUAGCACAACAACGAGCAAGAGGAGACCACAAAGCGCACUUGGUGGCCAGGUAAAACCCAGCUACACGUCUGGCUACGAGGGUGGAGAGACCUUCUUCAUCCACGGUCAAGUACUGGUGACAGCAGCAGCUCGCUCGCUUUCUUACGGACAUAGGUAGACUGGACUGAGAUUGAAUCGAAGCACCAGCCCUCUGCAGUGAUUUGCGGCCAGUUUCCCGUCCAGCUGCCCAGCCUGCGAGUGAUUCACUGACCUGCCAGGCCUGCAUGUGUCCGGUCAGUGUGUGUUUACACAGCAGCUCGUGGAUGCAGUCUGAAGGAGUAACAGAUCAGCAGGAAGGUCUCUGACUGAGCAGAGAGGGACGUCUUUUCCUCUCCAGCAGGGCCGAGGGGCGCUGAGGCGACCAGCUGCACACCAGGGAAGCGCACACACAUUCACACGCACAGGUUCAGAGGGCGAGCGACACACAACACCGCUGAAGUGGAGGACGGUGGGUAAAAGAAAACUGCCAGGCCAAAGGGUUACACAGGGACAGAGCUACUUACAUCUUACAGUUUCACUCGGCUGUUUUGUGACUUUUUUUUUUUUUUUUUUUUUAAGUUAAAGAGAAAUUAAAAGUCGCUGGAUUGAAUGAAUUAAUAGUUUUAAAGUGAAGGAUCUACAGGUUUCCAGUUAAAGGGGGUUACAAGACGCUGCUUACAUGACCUUUAGAGGCAAGAGCCAAUACUUGGUGUGAAACACAUUAUAUCACAUAUAAACUGAACAAAUAAAUCAUACUGUAGGAGUCAUGAAUUAGUUCCAGAGAGGAAUGGAUUUUGAGGUUUAUAUAUUGUGAUAUAAUUCCUUAAUGUCAUUUAUAUUUGUGUGAUCACAGUGAUUAUGGAGAGUUGGGUCACAUGGAUGUGGGUGGUGGUGGAUGUUAGUACUUGAUUUAAGCUCCUGUUUCUAUUUUAUCGCUGUAGUUAUUUUGAUCAUAAUUUUGUGCACGGUGUAAUAAGUUGAUCUUUUUGUUAAUAAAGUUUUUUUUCUUUUU